This 253-nucleotide ribosomal RNA is filed under the name uncultured bacterium. RNAcentral's name for it is "partial 16S ribosomal RNA". It matches the Rfam family "Bacterial small subunit ribosomal RNA", at positions 524 to 776 of the family's 1533-position model. The record is from RNAcentral.
UACAGAAGGGGCAAGCGUUGUUCGGAAUUACUGGGCGUAAAGGGCGCGUAGGCGGCCUGUUAAGUCGAACGUGAAAUCCCCGGGCUCAACCCGGGAACUGCGUCCGAUACUGGCAGGCUUGAAUCCGGGAGAGGGAUGUGGAAUUCCAGGUGUAGCGGUGAAAUGCGUAGAUAUCGGGAGGAACACCAGUGGCGAAGGCGACUUCCUGGCCUGUUCUUGACGCUGAGGCGCGAAAGCUAGGGGAGCAAACGGG